GAACGCUAGCUACAGGCUUAACACAUGCAAGUCGAGGGGAAACGACAUCGAAAGCUUGCUUUUGAUGGGCGUCGACCGGCGCACGGGUGAGUAACGCGUAUCCAACCUGCCCAUCACUUGGGGAUAACCUUGCGAAAGUAAGACUAAUACCCAAUGACGUCUCUAGAAGACAUCUGAAAGAGAUUAAAGAUUUAUCGGUAAUGGAUGGGGAUGCGUCUGAUUAGCUUGUUGGCGGGGUAACGGCCCACCAAGGCGACGAUCAGUAGGGGUUCUGAGAGGAAGGUCCCCCACAUUGGAACUGAGACACGGUCCAAACUCCUACGGGAGGCAGCAGUGAGGAAUAUUGGUCAAUGGGCGAGAGCCUGAACCAGCCAAGUAGCGUGCAGGAUGACGGCCCUAUGGGUUGUAAACUGCUUUUAUAAGGGAAUAAAGUGAGUCUCGUGAGACUUUUUGCAUGUACCUUAUGAAUAAGGACCGGCUAAUUCCGUGCCAGCAGCCGCGGUAAUACGGAAGGUCCGGGCGUUAUCCGGAUUUAUUGGGUUUAAAGGGAGCGUAGGCCGGAGAUUAAGCGUGUUGUGAAAUGUAGACGCUCAACGUCUGCACUGCAGCGCGAACUGGUUUCCUUGAGUACGCACAAAGUGGGCGGAAUUCGUGGUGUAGCGGUGAAAUGCUUAGAUAUCACGAAGAACUCCGAUUGCGAAGGCAGCUCACUGGAGCGCAACUGACGCUGAAGCUCGAAAGUGCGGGUAUCGAACAGGAUUAGAUACCCUGGUAGUCCGCACGGUAAACGAUGGAUGCCCGCUGUUGGUCUGAAUAGGUCAGCGGCCAAGCGAAAGCAUUAAGCAUCCCACCUGGGGAGUACGCCGGCAACGGUGAAACUCAAAUGAAUUGACGGAAGG
This 899-nucleotide ribosomal RNA is filed under the name uncultured bacterium. Its description in RNAcentral is "bacterial SSU rRNA". It matches the Rfam family "Bacterial small subunit ribosomal RNA", at positions 31 to 920 of the family's 1533-position model. The record is from RNAcentral.